AAAGAUGACUAGUAAUCCCUGUCACUAAUAUCACUAAAGUGAAUAUCCUAGGAUCCUUAUCUUUGUCUAGGGGCGGCCGAACCAAAUCGCUAGGGGAUGGUUUUGAAGACGGUUUAUGAACCGUCGAUUUCGGUUCUAGCUCCGGUUUAAAACAGUUUUAAGGGCAGUUCAAAAAAGGACGCUUCAAGACGGUUUUGAGGACGGUUUAAGGGCGGGACUUAGACAAAAAAAAAAGAUAGAGAA
This 243-nucleotide unclassified non-coding RNA is filed under the name Hevea brasiliensis (rubber tree). Lineage: Eukaryota; Viridiplantae; Streptophyta; Magnoliopsida; Malpighiales; Euphorbiaceae. The record is from RNAcentral.